GCCUACGGGAGGCAGCAGUGGGGGAUAUUGCACAAUGGGGGAAACCCUGAUGCAGCGACGCCGCGUAGGUGAAGAAGCGCCUCGGCGCGUAAAGCCCUGUCCGCAGGGAAGAAAAUGACGGUACCUGAAGAAGAAGCCCCGGCUAACUACGUGCCAGCAGCCGCGGUAAUACGUAGGGGGCAAGCGUUAUCCGGAUUUACUGGGUGUAAAGGGAGCGUAGACGGCAGCGCAAGUCUGGAGUGAAAUGCCGGGGCCCAACCCCGGAACUGCUUUGGAAACUGUGCAGCUCGAGUGCAGGAGAGGUA
Molecule: ribosomal RNA, 305 nt
Filed under: uncultured bacterium
Lineage: Bacteria
Description: bacterial SSU rRNA
Rfam family: Bacterial small subunit ribosomal RNA
Source: RNAcentral